CCUACGGGUGGCAGCAGUGAGGAAUAUUGGUCAAUGGACGAGAGUCUGAACCAGCCAAGUAGCGUGAAGGAUGACUGCCCUAUGGGUUGUAAACUUCUUUUAUAUGGGAAUAAAAUGUUCCACGUGUGGGAUAUUGUAUGUACCAUAUGAAUAAGGAUCGGCUAACUCCGUGCCAGCAGCCGCGGUAAUACGGAGGCUCCGAGCGUUAUCCGGAUUUAUUGGGUUUAAAGGGUGCGGAGGUGGUUUGUUAAGUCAGGUGUGAAAGUUUGCGGCUCAACCGUAAAAUUGCAGUUGAAACUGGCAGUCGUGAGUACAGUAGAGGUGGGCGGAAUUCGUGGUGUAGCGGUGAAAUGCUUAGAUAUCACGAAGAACUCCGAUUGCGAAGGCAGCUCACUGGACUGCAACUGACACUGAGGCUCGAAAGUGUGGGUAUCAAACAGGAUUAGAUACCCCGGUAGUC
Molecule: ribosomal RNA, 460 nt
Filed under: uncultured bacterium
Lineage: Bacteria
Description: partial 16S ribosomal RNA
Rfam family: Bacterial small subunit ribosomal RNA
Source: RNAcentral